GUGAGUAUACUCGAACCCAUUUUUACUUUUAACACUUUGGGUGCAACAUGUAUUCUAUAUUAAACGCACAUGACACUUGAAACUUAUUUGAAACUUACUCUAUCCAUUUAAACAUGAAACAUGAAACUUGUGAAUCUUGAGACUAUUUUGUGCUAUGUGAACGUUUAAUUCUUGUGUGUAGUUCCGCCUUAACAAUAGUAGCGCUAUAGGAGUAAUGCACCUCCCCGUUAGUCUUUGGGGUAUUGUUAGGAGGAGACAUAUCAACCUCCCGUACUUUAACGCAUUGGGAAACUUGGGCUAUCACUUGGACUACGUAAACUAGCACGUUGAAACUAUUUUAUUAUGUUCAUGUUGGAUAUGAGUUUUUAUUCUAUUAUGCUAUGUAAACAAACUUGUAUACUCGCUCUUUGCUUUUGCAUUGAAACUCUAUUUUAAUACAUGUUGCAGGUUGACAGUCAAGAUGUUGAAGAAUCAAGUUAGGAUGGACUAGAUACCCAUU
RNAcentral lists this long non-coding RNA (499 nucleotides) under Helianthus annuus (common sunflower). Lineage: Eukaryota; Viridiplantae; Streptophyta; Magnoliopsida; Asterales; Asteraceae. The record is from RNAcentral.